AGAGUUUGAUCCUGGCUCAGGAUGAACGCUGGCGGCGUGCUUAACACAUGCAAGUCGAACGGGAAACCUUUUAUUGAAGCUUCGGCAGAUUUAGCUGGUUUCUAGUGGCGGACGGGUGAGUAACGCGUGGGUAACCUGCCUUAUACAGGGGGAUAACAACCAGAAAUGGUUGCUAAUACCGCAUAAGCGCACAGGACCGCAUGGCCCGGUGUGAAAAACUCCGGUGGUAUAAGAUGGACCCGCGUUGGAUUAGCUAGUUGGCAGGGUAACGGCCUACCAAGGCGACGAUCCAUAGCCGGCCUGAGAGGGUGAACGGCCACAUUGGGACUGAGACACGGCCCAGACUCCUACGGGAGGCAGCAGUGGGGAAUAUUGCACAAUGGGGGAAACCCUGAUGCAGCGACGCCGCGUGAAGGAAGAAGUAUCUCGGUAUGUAAACUUCUAUCAGCAGGGAAGAUAGUGACGGUACCUGACUAAGAAGCCCCGGCUAACUACGUGCCAGCAGCCGCGGU
This 512-nucleotide ribosomal RNA is filed under the name uncultured bacterium. RNAcentral describes it as "bacterial SSU rRNA". It matches the Rfam family "Bacterial small subunit ribosomal RNA", at positions 8 to 521 of the family's 1533-position model. The record is from RNAcentral.